This 467-nucleotide ribosomal RNA is filed under the name uncultured bacterium. RNAcentral describes it as "partial 16S ribosomal RNA". It matches the Rfam family "Bacterial small subunit ribosomal RNA", at positions 28 to 506 of the family's 1533-position model. The record is from RNAcentral.
GACGAACGCUGGCGGCGUGCUUAACACAUGCAAGUCGAACGGAAAGGCCCUGCUUUUGUGGGGUGCUCGAGUGGCGAACGGGUGAGUAACACGUGAGUAACCUGCCCUUGACUUUGGGAUAACUUCAGGAAACUGGGGCUAAUACCGGAUAGGAGCUCCUGCUGCAUGGUGGGGGUUGGAAAGUUUCGGCGGUUGGGGAUGGACUCGCGGCUUAUCAGCUUGUUGGUGGGGUAGUGGCUUACCAAGGCUUUGACGGGUAGCCGGCCUGAGAGGGUGACCGGCCCAAUGGGGACUGGGAUAGGGCCCAGACCCCUACGGGGGGAAGCAGGGGGGAAAAUUGCACAAGGGGGGGAAGCCUGAUGGAGCAACGCCGGGGGGGGGAGGAGGGCCUUCGGGUUGGAAACCGCUUUCCCCUGUGACGAAGGGUGGGUGACGGUAAUGGGGAAAGAAGCACCGGCAAACUACGU